RNAcentral lists this ribosomal RNA (253 nucleotides) under uncultured bacterium. RNAcentral's name for it is "partial 16S ribosomal RNA". It matches the Rfam family "Bacterial small subunit ribosomal RNA", at positions 524 to 776 of the family's 1533-position model. The record is from RNAcentral.
UACAGAGGGUGCGAGCGUUAAUCGGAAUUACUGGGCGUAAAGCGCACGUAGGCGGCUUGGUAUGUCGGGUGUGAAAUCCCCGGGCUCAACCUGGGAACUGCAUCCGAAACUGCCUUGCUAGAGUAUGGGAGAGGGAAGUGGAAUUUCCGGUGUAGCGGUGAAAUGCGUAGAUAUGCGGAGGAACACCGAUGGCGAAGGCAAUCCCCUGGGCCUGCACUGACGCUCAUGCACGAAAGCGUGGGGAGCAAACAGG